RNAcentral lists this long non-coding RNA (356 nucleotides) under Fukomys damarensis (Damara mole-rat). RNAcentral describes it as "lncRNA (ENSFDAG00000030018.1)". Lineage: Eukaryota; Metazoa; Chordata; Mammalia; Rodentia; Bathyergidae. The record is from RNAcentral.
GGCCAGGAAAUCCCUUCCCAAAGAAAGUAAACUGACAAGAUUUGACCCUCUCAAGGACCAGCCAAAGGAGAGUCGUAAAUGGUUCUGGCAACGGAUCUAGACCCAUGGUGUUGGCAAGAGGACUGAAGAUGAAGGCCAAAGCUUGCAGCUGGGGUGGGCACAGCAUGGAGCUCCCUCCCUGGAGCAUCUGCAGAACACAGAGCAAGAGUAGAGCGGGGUUUGUGCAUUUCCCUGGUGACCAGCCUGCCUGCCACUCUCUGCUCCGGCCAGCCCACCCUGUCCUCUCACCCGCUAGGCUGGCUUCUAGUCAGUCUCAGCAGCACAUGCAUAUUCAUGCUGAGAAGGCAGCAAGCACG